UAACACAUGCAAGUCGAACGAAGCACUUAUGUUUGAUUCUUCGGAUGAAGAUAUAUGUGACUGAGUGGCGGACGGGUGAGUAACGCGUGGGUAACCUGCCUCAUACAGGGGGAUAACAGUCAGAAAUGGCUGCUAAUACCGCAUAAGCACACAGUGUUGCAUGACACAGUGUGAAAAACUCCGGUGGUAUGAGAUGGACCCGCGUCUGAUUAGCUAGUUGGUGGGGUAACGGCCUACCAAGGCGACGAUCAGUAGCCGACCUGAGAGGGUGACCGGCCACAUUGGGACUGAGACACGGCCCAAACUCCUACGGGAGGCAGCAGUGGGGAAUAUUGCACAAUGGGGGAAACCCUGAUGCAGCGACGCCGCGUGAGCGAAGAAGUAUUUCGGUAUGUAAAGCUCUAUCAGCAGGGAAGAAAAUGACGGUACCUGACUAAGAAGCCCCGGCUAACUACGUGCCAGCAGCCGCGGUAAUACGUAGGGGGCAAGCGUUAUCCGGAUUUACUGGGUGUAAAGGGAGCGUAGACGGAUGUGCAAGUCUGAAGUGAAAGCCCGGGGCUCAACCCCGGGACUGCUUUGGAAACUGUGUAUCUGGAGUGCCGGAGAGGUAAGCGGAAUUCCCAGUGUAGCGGUGAAAUGCGUAGAUAUUGGGAGGAACACCAGUGGCGAAGGCGGCUUACUGGACGGUAACUGACGUU
This 698-nucleotide ribosomal RNA is filed under the name uncultured Lachnospiraceae bacterium. RNAcentral describes it as "bacterial SSU rRNA". It matches the Rfam family "Bacterial small subunit ribosomal RNA", at positions 49 to 747 of the family's 1533-position model. Lineage: Bacteria; Bacillati; Bacillota; Clostridia; Lachnospirales; Lachnospiraceae. The record is from RNAcentral.